Molecule: ribosomal RNA, 468 nt
Filed under: uncultured bacterium
Lineage: Bacteria
Description: partial 16S ribosomal RNA
Rfam family: Bacterial small subunit ribosomal RNA
Source: RNAcentral
GACGAACGCUGGCGGCGUGCUUAACACAUGCAAGUCGAACGGAAAGGCCCUGCUUUUGUGGGGUGCUCGAGUGGCGAACGGGUGAGUAACACGUGAGUAACCUGCCCUUGACUUUGGGAUAACUUCAGGAAACUGGGGCUAAUACCGGAUAGGAGCUCCUGCUGCAUGGUGGGGGUUGGAAAGUUUCGGCGGUUGGGGAUGGACUCGGGGCUUAUCAGCUUGUUGGUGGGGUAGUGGCUUACCAAGGCUUUGACGGGUAGCCGGCCUGAGAGGGUGACCGGGCACAUGGGGACUGAGAGACGGCCCAGACUCGUACGGGAGGCAGCAGUGGGGAAUAUUGCACAAUGGGCGGAAGCCUGAUGCAGCAACGCCGCGUGCGGGAUGACGGCCUUCGGGUUGUAAACCGCUUUAGCCUGUGACGAAGCGGGAGUGACGGUAAUGGGUAAAGAAGCACCGGCUAACUACGUG